RNAcentral lists this non-coding RNA (158 nucleotides) under uncultured Prevotella sp. Lineage: Bacteria; Pseudomonadati; Bacteroidota; Bacteroidia; Bacteroidales; Prevotellaceae. The record is from RNAcentral.
CAAAUGCUGAUUAAAAUGGGAAACGGGUGCAAGUCCCGUACAGUCCCGCUGCUGUGACCGGUACUUCAUACUCUCCUUGUGCACGCAUGCCACUGGCCUACGACUGGGAAGGCGCACGAAGGGAAACACCGGAAGUCAGAAGACCUGCCAAGAGCUAU